Molecule: long non-coding RNA, 472 nt
Organism: Tupaia belangeri chinensis (Chinese tree shrew)
Lineage: Eukaryota; Metazoa; Chordata; Mammalia; Scandentia; Tupaiidae
Exons: 3
Source: RefSeq, a predicted model, not a curated record
UCUCCAGCGAGCACAUGGACCCUCUGGCAAAAUUUUAGAAAUAAAAAAACAAAGGUGGGAAAUAGAGAUUCACAAAGAGGAGGUGGCUUGCCAGAACCGACAGCAAGAUUGGGAGACAUGGGAUUCGAAGCCCCCUUUGUCCAGUCCCCCCGCUGCAUUUGGAAGUCUGGCUCCAGGCAACGGCAGCAGGGCGUUAGAAAACAGGCUUAGUCUGUCCGCCACGGCCACUCUGCUCCCUGUCAGAACGCCGCUGUCCCUGAGCACACGGAGCACACGGAGAAUCCUUGCCCGUCCUGUGCUGUGUCCCUUUGUGAGAGUGGUUGUCAGUUAACAGAACAAUUAUUUCAUAGAAGCUGCACCAGAGACAAUGGAAGAUAAGGAACUACCAGCCCCAUAUACGACCAAUCUGGGCCGUGCACCGGAAGCUGCUUUAAACUUCUGUGCCAGCUUACAGCCCCGUACGUACCAGGCG